AGAGAGAGACAUGCGCGCAUAUCAAUAAGCGGAGGAAAAGAAACUAACAAGGAUUCCCCUAGUAACGGCGAGUGAAGCGGGAAGAGCUCAAAUUUGAAAUCUUAAAGGGUUUCCCUUUACGAAUUGUAGUUUAAAGAAGUGUUUUCUGUUGAGGUUUUGGUAAAAGUUCUUUGGAAUAGGACAUCAUAGAGGGUGAGAAUCCCGUAUUUGACCUUUACUUUCAACUUUGUGAUACACUUUCAAAGAGUCGGAUUGUUUGGGAAUGCAGUCCAAAAUGGGUGGUAAAUUUCAUCUAAAGCUAAAUAUUGGCGAGAGACCGAUAGCGAACAAGUACCGUGAGGGAAAGAUGAAAAGAACUUUGAAAAGAGAGUUAAACAGUACGUGAAAUUGUCAAAAGGGAAGCGUUUGACACCAGUGUUGUUUUUCUGAAAAUCAAUUAAAGAACUGUUUAUGCUAAGUUGUUUAGACUUUAUCAGCUGACUGUUUAGUUUUGAGCUUUUCUUUAAUGCACUCUUCAGUUUAACAAGUCAACAUCAGUUUCUUUUGCUGUAAAAAAGCUUGAGGAAGGUGGCUUGAGAUCCGUCUUAAGUGUUUAUAGCCUCUUGCCUAUGCAGUCGGAGAGAUUGAGGUCUGCAGCGUAGAUCCUUCGGGGCUAAAUGCAUUUGUGCUAAGUUAUAGCAUUUUAUAGACAACUUGUUGACUAUGAUUUGUCUUGUAGCUUACUCGCUUAUGUUAUUUUACCUACGCUUAGGAUGUUGAGCGCAUGUCUCUCUCU
Molecule: ribosomal RNA, 775 nt
Filed under: uncultured Neocallimastigales
Lineage: Eukaryota; Fungi; Neocallimastigomycota; Neocallimastigomycetes; Neocallimastigales
Description: partial large subunit ribosomal RNA
Rfam family: Eukaryotic large subunit ribosomal RNA
Source: RNAcentral